Molecule: ribosomal RNA, 428 nt
Filed under: uncultured archaeon
Lineage: Archaea
Description: bacterial SSU rRNA
Rfam family: Archaeal small subunit ribosomal RNA
Source: RNAcentral
UACCAGCUCUUCGAGUGGUGUGGAUGUUUAUUGGGCCUAAAGCAUCCGUAGCUGGCUGGGCAAGUCCCCUGUUAAAUCCACCGAUUUAAUCGUUGGAGUGCGGGGGAUACUGUUCGGCUAGGGGACGGGAGAGGCAGACGGUAUUUUCGGGGUAGGGGUGAAAUCCUAUAAUCCCGGGAAGACCACCAGUGGCGAAGGCUGUCUGCUAGAACGCGCCCGACAGUGAGGGAUGAAAGCUGGGGGAGCGAACCGGAUUAGAUACCCGGGUAGUCCCAGCUGUAAACGAUGCAGGCUAGGUGUUUGGGCGGCCACGUGCCGCUCUAGUGCCGCAGGGAAGCCGUUAAGCCUGCCGCCUGGGGAGUACGGCCGCAAGGCUGAAACUUAAAGGAAUUGGCGGGGAGCACCACAAGGGGUGAAGCUUGCGGUUU